CAAAAGUUUGGUCCUGACUUUCCUAUCAGCUUUAGUUAAACUUACACAUGCAAGUAUCCGCACCCCUGUGAGAAUGCCCUAACAGUCCCCCGCCCUGGGACAAGGAGCUGGUAUCAGGCACAAACACUUAGCCCAUAACACCUUGCUCAGCCACACCCUCAAGGGAAUCCAGCAGUGAUAAAUAUUAAGCAAUAAGUGAAAACUUGACUUAGUUAAAACUAAAAAGGCCGGUAAAACUCGUGCCAGCCACCGCGGUUAGACGAGAGGCCUAAGUUGAUAAACACCGGCGUAAAGAGUGGUUAGGAAAUAACCUAGAACUAAAGCCAAAUAUUCUCAUAGCUGUUAUACGCACCCGAGAAUAAGAAGCCCCCUUACGAAGGUAGCUUUAAUUUAUCCGACUCCACGAAAGCUGUGAAACAAACUGGGAUUAGAUACCCCACUAUGCACAGCCCUAAACCUUGAUAGUUUAACACAUUUACUAUCCGCCAGGGAACUACGAGCCCCAGCUUAAAAUCCAAAGGACUUGGCGGUGCUUUAGACCCACCUAGAGGAGCCUGUCCUAGAACCGACAACCCCCGUUCAACCUCACCCUCCCUUGUUUUUCCCGCCUAUAUACCGCCGCCGUCAGCCUACCCUAUGAAGGACUUAUAGUAGGCAAAACCAGUACAACUCAAAACGUCAGGUCGAGGUGUAGCGCAUGAGAGGGGAAGAGAUGGGCUACAUUCCCUUAUUUAAGGGUAUUACGAAAAAUAUAAUGAAAAAUAUAUAAUGAAGGAGGAUUUAGCAGUAAGUAGAAAACAGAGCGUUCUACUGAAACUGGCCCUGAAGCGCGCACACACCGCCCGUCACUCUCCCCGAAUAAAAUAAACAAAUAACUAAAAAACUAAAAAAACAAAGGGGAGGAAAGUCGUAACAUGGUAAGUGUACCGGAAGGUGCACUUGGUUAAU
This 948-nucleotide non-coding RNA is filed under the name Strongylura anastomella. Its description in RNAcentral is "12S ribosomal RNA". It matches the Rfam family "Bacterial small subunit ribosomal RNA". The record is from RNAcentral. Lineage: Eukaryota; Metazoa; Chordata; Actinopteri; Beloniformes; Belonidae.